GCUGAAUUGCAUCAUCAGCAGAUGCAUGAUCCAAGCCUUGCAGAAGAAGCACAUUCCUUGCUAAGUGAAGAAGGCAUGAGAGCUGGACAUGCCAUGAGACUUGGAUUUGUUGCUGGAGUGAUUAAUAGAGAACGAUUGCCAAGCUUUGAAAGAAUGUUGUGGCGUGCCUGUCGUGGUAAUGUAUUCCUACGGCAAACUGAGAUCGAGACACCCUUGGAAGAUCCAAGCACGGGUGAUCAAGUCAACAAAUCUGUGUUCAUCAUAUUCUUCCAAGGAGAACAACUUAAAUCAAGAGUGAAGAAAAUCUGUGAAGGAUUCCGUGCCACUUUGUAUCCUUGUCCUGAAACUCAAGCAGAACGUCGUGAGAUGGCCAUGGGAGUGAUGACUCGAAUUGAAGAUCUUCAAACGGUGUUGGGUCAAACUCAAGAUCAUCGUCACAGAGUACUUGCAUCCGCUUCCAAGAAUAUCAAAGUAUGGUUUAUCAAAGUUCGCAAAAUAAAAUCUACAUACUUACACAGGGUACUUCAGCUGUGGUCUUUUUGAUAUUCGAUUAAUACAUCCUUUAUAUCCAAAGGUAUUUGAAUAGUAAGUAUCAUCUGUUCUCACGUUUUUCAGGAACGAAGUGGUUCUAGUGUACCUUCCAUCUUGAAUCGUAUGGUAACCAAAAUGAUACCCCCAACGUACAACCGUGUCAACAAAUUCACCUCAGGGUAUCAGGCUAUUAUUGAUGCAUAUGGUGUUGCCGAUUACAGAGAAGUCAACCCUACUCCCUACACCAUCAUUACAUUUCCUUUUCUGUUUGCUGUGAUGUUUGGUGAUGCUGGUCAUGCUUUUAUUAUGGCAAUAUUUGGUAUAUGGAUGGUGGUCAAUGAAAAGAAACUGGCUGAACCAGCAAAAGAAAGUGAGAUGUGGGGUCCUGUCUACCAUGGUCGCUAUAUUGUAAUGUUAAUGGGUAUGUUUGCUUGCUACACUGGUAUAAUAUACAAUGAUGUGUAUUCCAAGUCUAUUAACAUAUUUGGAUCAUCAUUUAUAUGUCAUAAAGCUAACUAUACGAACUCAACAAUAAAGAAUAAUGAACAUUUGCAAUUAGAUCCAGUAGAUACCUACACAGGCUCACCAUAUCCCUUUGGUUUUGACCCGAUAUGGAGACAAGCUCUCAAUGAGCUGACGUUCACCAACUCCUUCAAAAUGAAAAUGUCUGUUAUAUUAGGUGUAUUUCAAAUGUUGUUUGGAGUUAUGCUAAGUUGUGUAAACCAUAGGUAUUUUAAGAAUCCUCUGAAUAUCUUCUGUGAGUUCAUCCCAAAAGUGCUCUUCUUGGUGUGUAUGUUUGGAUACCUUGUCUUCAUGAUAUUUGUCAAAUGGUUUAAAUAUGAUGCCUCUACAUCGUCUACUGCACCCAGUUUGCUCAUUACGAUCAUCGAUAUGUUCUUGCUGAAAGGCGUGGAUGAAGAACAUUCAAUGUUCCCGGGACAGAAUGAAUUACAAACUUUCUUAGUGUUGGUGGUUGUCCUCUGUGUGCCAUGGAUGCUGUUCAUCAAACCAGUUUACUUGUAUGUACAAAAUAAUAAACGUGUAAAGAUGGGUCUCAAACUUGGCAAUGUACGCAUGAUAGUAAAUGGUGGCGGGCAUGAUGACACCGCUGAAGUGUUACCUAAUGAGGUCCUUGCCUCUGGAGAUUCUGAUAGCCUGAGUGAAGAAGAGACUGAAAAGGUCAAGAAGUUUGAUUUCACUGAAAUAUUCAUUCAUCAGUGUAUCCACACCAUAGAAUACUGUCUUGGUUGUAUCUCAAACACUGCUUCAUAUCUACGGUUGUGGGCUUUAAGUCUUGCCCAUGCUGAAUUAUCAUUGGUUUUGUGGGAGAUGGUGUUGCGUAUUGGUCUACAAGUUGAGGGAUAUGUAGGUGCUUUAGUGUUGUGGUUUGUGUUUGCAUGCUGGGCUGUGCUGACUGUUGCUAUAUUGCUGUUGAUGGAAGGUCUUUCUGCUUUCCUGCAUGCCCUGCGUUUACAUUGGGUUGAAUUCCAGAAUAAAUUCUAUGUUGGUAAUGGAUAUCUUUUCAUGCCAUUUUCUUUUACAACUAUCUUGGAUGUGAAAGAAGAAUAAAUAUUAAUAUUCUAAAACAGUGGCAGCGGCAUAGGAGUGUCGCCCCCUCGAAAAUCAAACUGAAACCUCUUGUGUCUGGAAAACUUGUCCCUCAAAAUGCAGGAAAUGCAUUUCAGAGAGUCUAGAUUCCAACAUUUUUAAGGGGAAGUAUGCCCCUGGACCCCCCUAGUAAGCUUGCACCUUUGGGGUGAGUGGUGAUGAGCAGAUCUCGCCCCUCCAUGCAAUUUCGUGCCACUGCCUCUGUAAAAUAAAGUAGUAGAUAAUUGUAUAGGUGUGGGUACAGUACUAUUAUUACUUCUUAUAGUGUAUAUUCAAACAUAGAUCUACUGUCACUGUUACUGUCACUGGAUAUUAAACUGAAAUAAUUACUGUAAUGAAAAUAAUGUGAGGAUACUAGUCAGGGCUUCUGUAUUCUGAAGGGCUCUCUAUUCCAAGACAAUUUUAAAUUUAGUUUGACAACAUGUGCUUAUGUAAGGUGUUAAUAUCAUUGAGAAGUAAAUACACGUACAAUGCAUUUUGAAAGGCAGUUAAUUAGGACAUACAAAGCAAUGGUCAUUGGGAAUUUUGGGUCCUGUAGUCAUUACUGUAUAUGUGCAUGCAGUGUUUCAUUGUUAUGUAUGUUGUAAUUUUUAUAUUAGUCAAUGGCAGUAGUUUAAAUGUUGUAUGGUACAUAUCGCUGCAUUAAAGUGCAGUACUACAAGCAUCCCACCACAUUUUGUUGCAUAUGGGUCACAUAUAAGUAUCUAAUAUUUUACAUACAUUAUUGGGAAAUGACUGUAUUUAUCAAUUUACUAUGUACAUUGAAUAACUCAUAACAUAUAUACAUGUAACAGGAUUAAUGUAACCAUUCAACCACAAAGUACUGAUUUCAAUGCAAGACUACAUAUGGAUUCAAAUUCACCGCAUGAAAAUGACAGCACAUAUAUGUACACAAUAAUAUUUAUUUUUAUUGUCCUAAUGUAUAGAUGUAUACAUUACAAUUUACAUCUCUUUUGUAAACCCCCCCCCCCCGAAAUUCAUGACAUUAUGUAAAAUAUGCUGAACUAUUUUGAUGAUGUAAUCACAUACUAGCUAUUUAAUUUUCUUCUACUUUUUUGAUUCCCAAAUGGUAUGAAUUGUCUGCCAAGUCUGUUUACUUUGGACAUGAAUUGUUGCGGACAACUAGUUUAUUUGUAAGUUAAUAUAUCACAACUGAUUGUGAACAAUUUGUGUUAUUGAAAAAUUAUAUUUAAAAUGUGUAUAUUAUUGUAAUCUUGUACAGUACAUUGGUGAUACUCACAACAGGUUUAUAAUAAUAAUAAUAAUAAGUUUAUUGACAUUAUUCAUUUUGAAUAGAACAUAGUCAAAUACUAUUCUAAGAUAGGGAAUUUGUUUCACCUGUAUAGUUAGUUCAUUGUCUUUCUAACUAGAAUGUUAUUUAACUGCUACUUCAAGAUUAUUAUACCAGAACUGUGGUGAUUUUAUCUUCAAAUUAAUGUGCCACAAGUUAAGACAUUGUUGAAGCUAACUUCACUAAAAUGGCAUGCAGCUUUUCCAGGGUGUUUUAUAGUAGUUUCACUAUGUCAUGUAUUAUAGUUUCUGUGCACUCAAAUGCACCAGACGGAUAUUUAGGGGUCUCUGUGAAGGUGUUAGUGAUUGGAAAAUGUGUGAGGGUUUGUUUUCCCUGUGAAUUAUUGUCAAUCAUCUGACAUGUGCAAUGUUAAGUUUCUAAUGUAAUAAAUAUUAAAGUGGCAAUGGCUGUAACUGUCUACAU
This is a non-coding RNA of Saccoglossus kowalevskii, 3853 nucleotides long. The record is from RefSeq and is a predicted model, not a curated record. Lineage: Eukaryota; Metazoa; Hemichordata; Enteropneusta; Harrimaniidae.